GACGAACGCUGGCGGCGUGCCUAAUACAUGCAAGUAGAACGCUGAAGGAGGAGCUUGCUUCUCUGGAUGAGUUGCGAACGGGUGAGUAACGCGUAGGUAACCUGCCUGGUAGCGGGGGAUAACUAUUGGAAACGAUAGCUAAUACCGCAUAAUAGCAGUUGUUGCAUGACAAUUGUUUGAAAGGUGCAAUUGCACUACUACCAGAUGGACCUGCGUCGUAUUAGCUAGUUGGUGGGGUAACGGCUCAACAAGGCGACGACACAGAGCCGACCUGAGGAGGUGGACCGCCACACUGGGAAUGGGACACGGCCCAAGCUCCCACGGGAGGCAGCAGUAGGGAAUCUUCGGCAAUAGAGGGAAGUCUGGCCGGGCAACGCCGCGUGGGUGAAGAAGGUUUUCGGAUCGUAAAGCUCUGUUGUAAGGGAAGAACGAGUGUGAGAGUGGAAAGUUCACGCUGUGACGGUAUCUUACCAGAAAGGGACGGCUAACUACGUG
Molecule: ribosomal RNA, 495 nt
Filed under: uncultured bacterium
Lineage: Bacteria
Description: partial 16S ribosomal RNA
Rfam family: Bacterial small subunit ribosomal RNA
Source: RNAcentral